RNAcentral lists this ribosomal RNA (487 nucleotides) under uncultured bacterium. RNAcentral describes it as "bacterial SSU rRNA". It matches the Rfam family "Bacterial small subunit ribosomal RNA", at positions 28 to 519 of the family's 1533-position model. The record is from RNAcentral.
GACGAACGCUGGCGGCGUGCCUAACACAUGCAAGUCGUACGGAGUUCACUUGGAAGCUUGCUUCCGAGUGAACUUAGUGGCGGACGGGUGAGUAACGCGUGAGCAACCUGCCUCACAGAGGGGGAUAACACACGGAAACGUGUGCUAAUACCGCAUAAUCCGAUGAAGCGGCAUCGCUUUAUCGGCAAAGGAGCAAUCCGCUGUGAGAUGGGCUCGCGUCCGAUUAGAUAGUUGGUGAGGUAACGGCUCACCAAGUCUACGAUCGGUAGCCGGACUGAGAGGUUGGACGGCCACAUUGGGACUGAGACACGGCCCAAACUCCUACGGGAGGCAGCAGUGAGGGAUAUUGCACAAUGGGCGAAAGCCUGAUGCAGCGACGCCGCGUGAGGGAUGACGGUCUUCGGAUUGUAAACCUCUGUCCUUGGUGAAGAAGAAAGUGACGGUAGCCAAGGAGGAAGCCACGGCUAACUACGUGCCAGCAGACCCG